This is a non-coding RNA of Triticum aestivum (bread wheat), 115 nucleotides long. The record is from Rfam. Lineage: Eukaryota; Viridiplantae; Streptophyta; Magnoliopsida; Poales; Poaceae.
UAAGUACUCCCUCCGUUCCAUAUUAGUUGUCGCUGAAACCGAUGUAUCUAGACGUAUUUUAGUGCUAGAUACAUCCGUUUGAGCGACAACUAAUAUGGAACGGAGGGAGUAAUAA